UAUGAAAUUGCAGCGAAUCUUAUUAAUUCGAUAAAUUUAAAAAGGUAGAACCCUAGAUAGCUUAUACAUUUAGAUGGGUACCUUUUAAUUUGUUGGGUUGAUAGACUUGUUGAUUGUUUUGAAAUUGAAACGAUUUUUUUCCUUCAAAAUAUUAUAAGGUACUGGCAUUUAAAAAAACGUCACACUAAAGCAAAGGCAACAGAAAUGCGACGAAAUUGAAUAACCACUGGUGGAGGGUUAACAUGUUGAUUCCACUUUACAAUUUGGAAGAGAGGAUUGAUGCCAUAGUAGGCUAUAACAUUUAAAGUUUGGGAUACUGCUGGCUAAAAAAAGUAUAGAGCUCUAGAAGAUAGUUACUAUGUUGAAGGUUGAUAAGUUAUCAUAAUAUUUGUGUGACCUCUCAUGUUACUUACAAAAAUGUAUGAAACUGGCACAGGGACUUGGAACAUGAAUAUGAAGGCAUUUGAAUUGUACUAUGUGGCCACAAAGUAAACAGAAAAGGCCAGCAAAUUCAAUUGUGUUCCACAGGAAAAAGAAUCUUCAGGUCUACUACAGACUCGACAGUUUGGAAUGUUUUCGAGAUGAGAAGAACUGACAAAAACUCAGCUU
This is a long non-coding RNA of Achroia grisella, 609 nucleotides long. RefSeq lists it as uncharacterized. NCBI's taxonomy places the organism in Eukaryota, Metazoa, Arthropoda, Insecta, Lepidoptera, Pyralidae. The record is from RefSeq and is a predicted model, not a curated record. The transcript is spliced from 4 exons.